AAGCCUGCACCCACCGUCCCCCACUUCAAUGACUGUCCUGGAGGCUUGUAGUCCGGCCAGGGGACUAGCACAGGCAGGCACCCAGGGCUGGCAGUGCCAGCUGUCCCGAGCAGCCAUGGGUUCCCAGCUGUAGGCGUCCAGGUUGCCAUAUGACGGCACCACCCCACGCUUGGCCCCAUGCCCACCCCGAUCCUGGACGGGCUGCCCACCUGCCUGAGGGGUGCACUGCUGCCCUGCACCAGGGGGGCCCUGAAGCCGGGUCUGUCCUCCCCCGGGGCCCUGGGGAGAGGGGGACCCUGCAAGGCUGGCACAGAGCGCAGGGAAGACGGGCUCUGUCCGUCCGUGGCUGAGGACUGUGCCGUGGCCAUGGCCCAGCAGCCAGGUGGCCUGGGAGCACCUGCCCUCCUGGCCUGGUCCAGUAACAGGGAUGCUGUGGAGCCUGCGCUGCGGGGCAGGGCUUGCAGCCUGCCCGUGUGGUCCACUGACCAGGAGGCCAGGGGAGGGGGCAGCUCAGUGUCCUCUGGCCGUCUGUCUGGCUCCUCAGGAGGCCAUGUGUCUCGCGCCCCUCCCCACGGGCCCUGGAAGGAGCGGCUGCCCCGGGGGCUGGGGUCCCAGCGGCCGCCCAGAAAGAGUGACCCCAGGCUGGAGCGGCUGCGGGACCGGAUCUGCCAGCAGGCGCGGGGACAGGUGAGCUGCGCCUCCCUGGGCACCUCGGCCCCCUCCAGCGCCUCGCGCCUCUGCUCUGCCUCCACGCCAGCGCCCCGGAGGAGGACCUACAAGGUGACAGCCGCCCUUCCAGGCCCCGCACACUCAGGACUCAGCAUCCUCCGUGUGGCGGAGCCCCGAGAGGAAGACCAGGCGCCCCUAGGCGUGGGGCAGGAGCUCUCUCGGGCCACCCGGCACCAGGCUCCGGGUCUCCGGGACAAAGCCAGGAGGACUUGGGCCCGCUCCUGCAGAAGGGACAGGGCCCCCAGGUCACUCUCGCCCGGCAGAGCUGGCAAGGGCAAAGAUCCCGAGUCUGUCGGUAUUCGCGCCUGGAGGAGAGGACAAGAGCUGGCGCGGCUGCUGCUGGGGCCGUCUCCUGCCCGGCCCGCACGCCCAAGCACCAGCCCCUCAAGGGACCUGGGCCCUGCCAUGGCAUUAGGAGACAUCAAGAGGGCUUCGGCCACUGAGGGCUCAUCAGUCCACACCUGGCCAGACAGGCUCGCCUCGGCCGGCAGUGACCCUCAGGUGUCUGAGAACACAGCCAGCCUGGCUUGCCAUGGCCAGCGGGCAAUGAUCCACACCGCCAUGGCCAUCCUACAAGACCUCCGCCAGCAAAUCCAGGCUGGGCUGGAGCUGGCUCAGGGCCCUAGGCUUGAGCCGAAGCGCAGAGCGUCCAAGCUGAAGCCGCAGAACCUAGGCCAGCAGGGUCGCUGGAGCAUCCAGCUCAGGCAGGGCUCCUGCCCGAAGAGUCCCUGCGACGUGGUAGAGGGGACGCACUCCGCCCUAGACAGGGCCAGGCGCGCCCACCCCCAGCAGCCCUCGAGCACCUCGGCCAAGUGGGAGCCCUGUCCCUCGAGGGCCUGGGAAGCCGCAGGAUGGGACCCCUGCUUCCAGAGACCUCCGAGCCCCUCUGAGAAGCUGAGCCCCUGUGCUCAGGGGCCCUGGAGUGCCUUGCCCUGGCUGGCCUGUCCUCAGUGGGCCUGGGUGCAUAAUGAAGACUGGGAGGUCCCUGACCCCAGACCAUGGAGCCCUCUGGAACGACCAUAUCUUGCCCCUCAGCGCUCCUGGAGUGGCUCCUACUCAAAGAGAGCUAGGUCCCCCUGCAAGGGCAGAGGCGCCACCACCCCUCCCUCCAAAGCCAAGCAGGCCUGGCCGUGGAGCUUACAAGGGAAGGAGCUGGGUGCAGAGCCGUUCCCACCCCACCUGCAGCCCCGGGGGGCCCUGGGCCAGUCACACAGCUCGGAGGCCCUGUGCAACUUCCUGCACCAGAAGGCACAGGCGUGGAGGCAGCAGUCCCUGCAGCAGACGGUCACAAACACAGAUGCACUGGAACGGAGAAGCCAGAAGCUUCAAGAGGUCUACCGGAAGCAGCGGGAGGCCGUGCAGGGCAAGGCAGUCUCUGUGGUCUCCCAGACGAACCCCGGCAUCGUCACCUUCGUGUCCAGUUCUGCACAGUCUGGGGACCUGAAAGCCCCUGGGAGCCUGGAGCCCCCGGAACAGGAGUGGAGCAAAGUGACUUCGGGCAUGGUGCUGGGGAACCAGGAGGUACCAGGCAGCUUCUGUCUGUGUCUGAACAGAGCAUGGAACCGCCUGGAGACGCCCCUGCCUGUGUCUGCCACCUCCUCACUGGGCUCCGUAUGGCUCCAGGACCCAGGCCGGGGGCUGCACGUCUGCUUGGACCCGCAGAUGGCUGAGCAGCUGGACCUGUCGGGCCCACUGCACACACAGCACAAGCAGGCCCGGCUGCAGGCGCUGGAGACAAUGGCCAACGUCCUGCAGCAGCGCAUCGACAUCCUGACUGCCAAGCUGCACCGGAAUGAGGCGCCAGACAGCAGCCAGGACGCAGCUUCCGAGCUGAAGUCCCUGGGGCCCAGCACCACGCCCACUGCCCCGGCCUACCCUGGGGCUUCGCUGCCCAGGGGGGACAGAGGGUCACGCGGUGAUGACUUCCUGGAUGCGGAGCCACUUCUGUGGAGCCCAGGUGCCACGCAGGAGGGACGUUGGCAGCUGGAGCACAGGCUGCAGGGACACUCAUCUCCCUUCCAGGCCGCUGGCGCCAGCAUGGGGAGCAUGCUGGGGGUGCCUGCCGCUCCACACCCCACCUGUGGCUCCCCGUGGCUGGAGGAGAGGCCGGCGGCCAGAGGGGUGGGCUUGGUGACGCCCUGGACCCCCCGGAGCUGCGGUCCCCAGGAGCCUGGGGCGCCACGUCCCAGAGGCCGAGGUGGGCACCUCGCCGACUUCCAGCUGAAGUCCUUGAGAUUCCUCGAAUCACUGAAGCAGGACCCAGGACUUGGGCUGUCACCACAGCUGGAGCAGCGGCAGCAGCAGCAGGAGCAGGCCCUGGCCCUCCUGCGGCAGCGGGCAGAGGAGGAGGUCUGGGAGACACAGAUGGCCCUGGACGGGCUGCUCUUCAAGCACCAGCUGGAGCGGCUGUUGGAGAAACACAGGCCCCGCAGCUGGCUGGGAAGGGCUUCCAAGCUGGAGCAGCCACAGAUCCAUGUGGGCCCAGCGCCCACAGCAUCGGCCCAGAGCCCCGAGCCAGCCAAAACCAGGUCACCCCCAGCCCUGGGCAGAGACGUGACCGGGUCCUCCCAGGGUCCUGAGGAGGGGCAGGCCAGUGUGGAGGGCAAGUCGGCAUCUGCAGACACCCGCAGCCAGACGGCCGCUUCCGCCGGGAAUCGGGGCUCUUCGGUCACCGCUCCCGACAGCGCAGGACCCACAUCGCCCCCUCUGGCCCCAGUGUCCUUUCGGUGGAAGCCAGGCAGCAAGGCUGUUGUCCCAGGGCUGGCCACACCCGACCCAGGCUCCGCCCGGCUGCGCCCCGCCAGACUCUGCCCUCCGGACAGCCCUGCCCACCAGGGGAGCGCGGCGGGGACCGGGAGUGCUGAGCCCGGAGCCGGCAGGGUCGGUGUCCGGCCGUGUACCGCGGCGUUGGAGCAGAGCUUGCGGGAGGAGGGGCUGCGCGCUCAGCAUUGGGCCCCGCUGCUGCGCCUGCGCGAGAUGGCGCUGGAGGAGAAGGCGCGCGCCGAGCGGGCCUGGCUGGAGCACCAGCGAGGGUGUCUGGGGCGUGGGAGCCACCAAGCCACAAGGGCUGCCUUGUUGGAGAGGACGCAGGCCCUCAGCAGGCUGGAGAAGGAGUGGAGGGAGAUCCGGGACCUGCGGGACCUGCACAGGUCAGUGCUCCAGGGCAGGCAGCAGCUGCUGCAGCAGCAGGAGGCCACAGUGCAGAGGCUGGCGACAUUGCAGCAGAGUCCCAGCCCCCAAGUCAAGCCCACCUGGCAAGGAGCCUCUGAGACAGGCCAGCAGCUGGAAGGAGCCCUGUGCCCCCAGACUGCAUGGAGGCCUGGCAGCCCCGCCAGCCCACAAGCCCACAGAGGCCCUGAGAGUGCAGAGGGCGCACGCCUUGCCCCUGAACCGUGGGAGGAGACACCCCAGACACCUGCAGAUGCCGCCGGCCACCAGCAGCCACCGAGUCCGGCCUCAGGAGGGGACACAGCCGAGGCCAGCAGCCUCCCGAAGGCGGGAGGCAGCCACAUAGACCAAGAGCCUUGUGACCCUCAGCUGGGCCAUCUGCACUCAGGCUCGCUGGACCCUGGACAGCUGUUGGAUUCCACCUAUCCUGCCCUCGAGGCAAAGAGGGACAGCCCCAUAGCUCAGCUUGGGGUGCAGGAGGCACCGGAGCCGCCCACAGGGGACUCUCAGACCCAGGCCAGAGCCUGCUGGGCCAAGAAGAGACCCACGGCUCCGAGGGAUGUCAGAGCGCACAGCUUCCAGGGACAUCGCCUAUACCACCUGGGGGCAGAUGGUCCUCGCUGUCCCCAGGAAGCAAGUAUGGCUGAAGGAAGCACACACCAAGCUGGACUAGAUGUUGCUGGGAGCCCCGUGGGGGAGCCCCUGGAAGUGGCGAGCAGGCUGCCCAGGGAGCUGAGGACCGAGACCUGUUGGCAGGACAGCAGCAUCCCACUGGCCGCCUCCCCAGCAGCUCCUGCGGCCCUGGAGGAGGAGGCGGCAUCCCCCACCCCGCCCAGGCCUGCUACCCCUGUGCACCCGGGCUCCGAGCCUGCAGCUGGGCUUUCCUGGGCGUCUCCGCGGUCCCCGGCGUCAUCCCCUCUGUCCUCAGCAGGCUCUGGGAGUGGCCUGGCCUGCUCCUCCCUCCAGGAGUUUCAGAAAGCCACAGCCACCCUGGUGCAGCUUUCUGACCGCUCGCUCUCCCCGUCCGGCCCAGAGGCCGAGGGCAGCCCAGGCACAGACCCCAGCUGGUCUGAAGAGCUGUCUGUGCCCGGGGACUUGGGCCCACCCUCGUCUUGGGGGCUCUGCCAGGGUGACCCUCAGUGGGGUGCUGUGCCGGGGGGUGCUGGGCUGACGACCUGGCCGGGGCUGGAGUGUGGCCAGGCUGCCCCCCCGCCUGGUGCUCCUAGGGAGGUGGCUGCGGCAGAAGACUUGGUCCCAGGGCGGAGCUGUCUGCAGACAGGCUGGCCACUGCCACCUCAAGAUGUCUGUUCUCCAAGGUCCGGGUCGGAGCUGUCAGAGGCCUCCAGCCAAGUUUGGGAUGAGGACAUUGAGGAGAACCUACUAGAACCCGGCCUGGUGGCCCAGCCCACCUCUGGGUGCUCCUCGCCUCCUGGCUCUUCCAGCUGGGAACACAGCAUGGUUGGGCCUGCCCUGGGCUCGGGGCAGGGACAGGAACCUUCUGAAACCAGCGAGAGCCUGAGUGGGGGGUCAAACACAGGGAGCCCUGAGCAGUUGUCCUCCGAGGCAGCCUCCACCAGUGACCUAGACCUGUCACUCUCAUUUCCUUCAGGGACUUCUGCAUCCAGAGGGGCUCGCUGCCAGGAGAGGGCCCGGGGGGCUGGCCCGAGCCUGUCCCCUGGAAGGAACCCCCCACAGGCCUCUCCAGGGCCUGAGGUCCCCUAUGGGCUGGCAUCCCUUGUAGCCGAGGGCCAGGCAGCUGGGUGUGCAGGGAAUGAGGCCCCCCAAGUCCCAGAGCAAGCUGGCCCCCCGCCCGGCACUGGUUUCCCAGCUGGGGCAUCGUCCCCUGUGGAUGAGGAGUGGCGGUGUGGCGGUGGGGACCUCCCGUGUGCCCCCUCCUGGGAUGCCCACCUCCCCCCACCGCCUUCCCCUCCCCCUGCAGACAGUCAUGGGGAUGAGGCCCAGCCCUGCUGCGAAGACUUCCCUUCCCCGCCCCAAGAGGCCAUGGUUCCCCAAGGCUCCCUGGGCCCCCUGGAGGAGGACAUCUCCAUUGCCACCCAGGACUUGUCCUUGUCCGAGGGGGCCCCAAAGCAGGCUCUGUCUCAGGGUUCCCAGGAGUUGGGACUUGAUCUGAGGGCAUCCUGGCUGUGCAGGGGCCCUGAGUGUGAACUGGGGGGGUUAGGAUCUGCAGUGGGGACUCAGGCCUCCAGUGGCCAGUGGUCUGAACAGAUCACCUGGCCAGAGUCGCCCUUGGGUGGAGGGGGAGGCAGUGUCCCUGGGGGGCUCCCAAGAGCACCAACAUGGCCCUCAUUCCCAUCCCGAGGGGGCUGUGUUGCCGGGGAGGGUCUGUCUGGGCUGUUGGUGGCUGGUGACCCCGAUGUGCUGAGUGUGGGACCCUGCGCUCUCAAGAAGGCCUUGGGCAGGUGCAUGGGACCCCAGGAUGGGCUGCAGUGCUUUGAGAGUACAGGGCGCCUGGGAGGCUCCAGCAGCUCCUCCGCCCCUCCCCAAGACCCGGUGCCCUUGGUGGCCCAUGGUCAGGCGGGGUCCCUGGGGCACACUGGUGAGGAGGGUGUGGAAGGCCUGAGCCACUGGGCAGAGGACUCAAUGGGCAGAGAGCUGCUCCCAGGGGAACACUCAGCCACUGGCCACCAGCCCCCGGGAUCCUGCUCUAAUUUCCUGGGCACAGAGAGGGACGACGCAGUGGCCGUGGUGUCCACCCAGCUCACCCAGAGGAUCCUGUUGGACUCCAUGGCUGUGUUGGCCCCUGGGGGCAGCCUCUAAACACUGCGAUGUCACUCUGUGACCGUGUGUGAGUGUGUGUGAGUGUAUAUGUGUGUGCGUGUGUGUGCGCAUACACACAAGAGCCUCUGGAAGCUAGCCGUUUCCUCCUGGGGUAGACGGGUCAGGCUGGCUGGCCAUCCACGGCCAGCUGUGCAGGAAGUCAUCUGACAGGGCGUCCGCUAUCUGCGAUUCUCUGCUUGUGGGCUGCAUGGCUUCCGGGUUCUCAAGGCCCCUGGCCCAAGUCAGAGAGCAGCGUGGCAGAGGCUGCGUGGGCAGCACAGAGGCUGCUGCUCAGGGCAGGCCGAGGAGCACUGCCCCAGUGGGCCUAGAGGACAGAGGGAGCAGACAAGACAGGGUAGGGCGAGGGCAGGAAGAGCCGGGGAGUGUGGAGCUGGCCAGGGCUGAGAGGAGACAGGACUUGCAGGGUGGCAGCUCAGGGCCUGCAGGUCACUUCAGCCCGGACCAGCAGAGCCUGGGGCCCUGGGCUUGUCCCCUCGGAUGGGGUCACUUCCAGCGUUGUGGGUGCCUCUGUCUCCGGUGGGCUCUCUGGGUCUCCCGGGCCCCCCUCCCUUUUCUCAGGGUCCCUGCAAGGCCACCCUGCCUCGUUCAUGUCCCAGUGAGCUCCGUACUGGGGGACCCUGAGUGGUUCUUUGGGGAGGGGGAACAUGGCUCUGUCCUGUGUCUCCUCUUUGCAGAGGUGCCCCCUUUCUCAGGACAGGUGUCCCGGGGAAGGCUGGGCUGUGGGCUCCAGCACCCAGCACCGCCUGUGUGGGGAGAAGCCAUGGGGCCGCCCCAGAGCCGCAGACCUACAGGGUCCCUGAGCGUCCCCGAUUCCACAAGCCUCUGAUAGUGCUCAGGUGUAUCUGGGAGGAGGGGGUGGGCCAGCCACAUCCCUGGGCUUCCUGGAGCGGACAGGUCCUGCAGAAUGGCCACCUGUGCUGGCUGUGCAGGAAGUCACCUUUGUGACCGUCCCCCAGGAAGUCCACCCACUUCGCUGAAGCCCAGCACGGAGCAGCGCCACAGCCACUAGUGCCAGGCUUGGAUCACCCAGGACCUCCCCAUCCACCCUUGCCCCGAGGCUAGGUGGUAGUGGGGAGUGGGUGGCAUGGGGCAUCUUAAAAUCUCAUGUGAGAGCACAUUUGGGCCUCACUUGAAGCUGCCGCAGACCUGUCCGGGGACCCAGCCUGGCAGGACAGCAGUGUCUGGGGCAGGCUGGCUGUGGGCGGGUGUCUGUGUGCUUGCUGCUUCUGUCCUGAACCUGUACCUGCCCUGCCCGCAGGGAAGCGGCUUCACACCAGCCCAGCGGCGGGUGCUCUCACCACAGAUGCAGCUUUCAGAUCUGCUUUCUGACUCCCAACCCAGGGUUUUCUGAGAGGACCUGGAGCCUGUGCUGGGAGCUCUCUGAGGCUACGCUCCAUUCCUGAGGCAGCACGCAUGUGUGUCCGUGUGUGUGUGUGUGUGUGUGUGUGUGUGUGUGUGUGUGUGUGCACACGCGUAUGUGUGUGUGUCACUCUUCUUCUAGCCAUCCCUGGUCAUUCACCAUCCAUAUACUCAUCUGUCUGUCUGCCUACCAGUCGGUGUGUCCACCGACCUUUACCAGCUCACUUCCAAAUCAUUACAAAUCAUUGUGUUGAAGCUGAACACAAGCCUGUAAUCCCAGCUACUUCAGAGGCUGAGGCAGGAGGGUUGCAAGCUCAAGGCUGGCCUGGGCAAUUUAGCGAGACCUUAUCUCAAAAAAUAAACAAAUACUAGAAGGGCUAAGGGUGUGGCUCAGUGAUAGAGAGCCUUUGCCUAGCUUAGGUGAGGCCCUGGGCUCCAUCCCCAGAGCGUCAAAAGCAAAGACAACCAAAAAGCCAAGUGUGGUGGUGCGUGCCUAUAAUCCCAGCACUGAGGAGGGUGAAGCAGGGGGAUCACUUGAGUUCAAGGCCAGCUUGAGCGACAUACUCAAUUCAAGACCAGCCUGAACUAUAUAUAUAGCGGAAAAAACCCAAAAGUUAACGUUAAAAACCCAGCUAGAACCCCAAAUGUGCCUAUGAGUUCCUUCCUGUAGCUCUGGCAGCAGCCGAUGUGACGGGAAAGGGUGAGGACAGGUGCUACACAGCCAGCGGCUUUGGAAAGUCUGUGCUGGAGCGCUCUGUGCAACACAGAGCUGGCUCAAUGCACAACUUCUGUGUUUUUAUGGAUCAGUUCAAAUUGAUGUUUAAAAACCCACUUGAAUAAAGACUGUAGACUAUGAAAGGAUUGUCGUCAGGAGAUUAUUUUCUCCUACUUCUGUACUGUCUGGUUUCCGUGGGUGACACUAUAUUCUAAACACUUUCUAUUCAGACAUCAUUCCCAUACCACGAAGCUCACCUCUUUGAGCUGUACACAUGAAUUUUAGCAUCCUUAGAAUAUUGAGUACGGGGCUGAGGAUUUAGCUCAGCAGCACAGUGCCUGCCUGGCAAGCACAAAGUCGUGAGUUCGAUUCCGGGUACAGGAAAAAAAACAAACCCCCCCCCAAAAAAAAGAAUAUUGAGUAAUUCGCCUGCAGCCCCCCACUUCUUGAAUUAGGUCCCUUCCUGGGUGGGUCCAGGUUGACAAGCAGCGCUGGCCAUGGAGAUAGUGGAGUCCAGCGCUGACCCUCAGGUCUCUGUUCCUCCCUCAGCCUCGGACCUGCACCUAACUGCACUUGGGGGCCGGGGACCUGAGCUUCCUGCCCCUGUGUGGCUUUAUUUUUAUGAGCAGGUGCUUGCAGUACACCAUAAGCACAUUCCUUGCGGGGAGUUGCCACCCGGCCAGGACACAUCUCAGUCCCUUCUCCUCCCCUUCUCUCCCCCCUCCUUCCCUUGCUUGGUCCCCUUCCUUUGUGCAAAAGACCUACCUCCCAGUUCCUAUUGUCCAUCCCUUGUCUUUAUUUAUACUUUGGAUUUCACAUAGAAGGGAAACCACGAGGCACCGAGCUUGUGCGUCUGACUUUUCUCACCGAGUGAGCAUUAGGGUUUGGUGGUCACCGGCUGUGUUGGGCAUGGCAGGAGCUGGCAGGGCAGAGGUCUGAGGUGCCAAGUCACAGGACAGGGAGCUGCCAGUGCCCUCUGGCCUGUCCCUCCGGCAAGGACCCUUGGGACACUUUUGGGGAGAGGCAGGGCCCCUUCCAGAGAGCUCCUCAUGGAGCCACAAUCUGCCACGUUUCAGGGACAGUGCUUGGCUCAGGGCCCUUCUUGGGCACCUGUGCCUAAAGACAAAUCUCAUUGAGGGAGGCACCAGCCACGGUGUCACCUGGUUCUUUCCCAGCUUUCCCAGGGCACAGAGCUCUGGGUCCAGUGGGGGAAAGUUGUCCCCUGUGUGUGUGACUUCACAUUUUGAGCUAUAGCUGUCUUAUUGAUUCCCUUCUAGUUUUCUGAGCAAAUUAGUCUGUAAUUUUUUAUUUUUUUUCUAUUUAUUGCUGACCCUUUUGGAUUUAUGAGGCCGUGUGAGAGGAAUUAUGUAUUUUACACACAUGCGUUUGGCACGGCAAUAAAUCUCUUACAUUGAAACUCUGCAGAUUUGCCUCAAAUUCAAUACCAAAACUCAAUCUCAUUGCUCGGGCUUCUUGCCAACAGCUCGCAGUGUUGGGGUACACGUAGGAGAACCAGGGUCUCCCCAGAAUGUUCUGACCUGGGAGCCUGGCAGGUAUAUCACAUUGCCAGAGUCAUUUUCGGCCUUGGCAUGGUGCCCUUGAAGGGAGGCUGGGCACAGGAACUAAUGGCAAAGCAGGCCAUGCCUCCUGUGACAGUGCUGGAGGGGGCCGGGGCUAUCAAACGGCUGUGGUGGGCGGAGGAAAAGUAUAUCCAUCGAAGGUGCUGGACACAUUUUAUGUCCCGACGUGUGCAGAGCCCGGCUCCAGCAUGCAGAUGCAGUGACCGGGUGAAGCUGUCCCACAGGACCCUCCCUCCAAGGUCUCCGGCUCUGAUCUUCGGUAACCACUCAGCCCAAUAAAUCCUGACACCAGUCUCGGGAGAAGUCAUUAUGUUUCAUAGAAAGUGGUUAUUUCUCUGUUAAACCCCACGUUUAAUUUUCCAGCGAUCUGUCUCUUUCUGCAUCCUGCUUAUUGCGUCCCUCCUGCAUAGAAAACCAUCCUGCCAUUGGCCUUUGUGCCCCACAUCCCACGUCACCAAGGGAGCCUCCCAGGUCCUUGGAUUCCCGUCCCUGCACAGCCACUCACACAGCCCACACCAAAGGCCACCCUUUCAGUUUACAGAGUGACAGCCGUGCGCUGCUGGGGUGCCAUGUCCACUGCUGCUCUCAAAAUUCUUGGGGUGAAGGACUGUAGAGGAUGAAGAAAUAAAGACAAGGAUCAGGAAGCAGAAAGCUAAGGUCAGGUGGAGCCCCCUCUCCAGAUGGGAGAAAGGAACUGCUCAAGGACUGCGGUGCAUUUACUUACACACUCGGCAGGUUGAUGUCACGUGCAGCCUCUGUCUAGCAACCUGCUUGCCUGGCUGCCUCAGGUUCUCUGUGUUCUCAGAGCUGGAACGGCUUGUUCAUGUGGCUGGCCUCGGGCGCUCUGCACGUGUGAUCAAUCUCCAGUUUCAGCCGAUCCCCACACUGGGGGACACGGUGGCACUGGUUCUGACACGCCAGCAUGCCCACACCCGGGGUGUUUGGUUGCUGGGGCUGGGAGCCGGGUAAGCUCACUUGCCUUCCAAAUGGGGCUGGCCCUGUGCCCAAGAUGCCCUGCCCAAACCAAACCAGGCUCAGGAAGUCAGCCUUUCCCAUGCUAGCACCCCAAGUGGCCUCUGGGACCCCAAGAAAUAUACAGAGCUCAUCCUUCUCCAGGGCCCUGUCCUGUUUGCCCACACCAUGGCAACCACGCCCAUCAAGCUGCUUUUCUGCAUUGCCCCCAACAACUGUCUCCCUUUGCGCCAGCUGAGGCCCCUCCCUGAUGUCCCAAGGACACAGAAGA
Molecule: long non-coding RNA, 11593 nt
Filed under: Chinchilla lanigera (long-tailed chinchilla)
Lineage: Eukaryota; Metazoa; Chordata; Mammalia; Rodentia; Chinchillidae
Description: lncRNA (ENSCLAG00000028867.1)
Source: RNAcentral